UGGAAAUAUGAAAUGAGAGCAGGACAGCACUCCCCUUGAUUAGGAUGGAAGAAAUCCGAAUGGACUUUUAACCAUGUUUAAGACUGUCACUUACUUUGUGGCAUCUGGUCUAUAUCCUGG
Molecule: non-coding RNA, 120 nt
Filed under: Balearica regulorum gibbericeps (East African grey crowned-crane)
Lineage: Eukaryota; Metazoa; Chordata; Aves; Gruiformes; Gruidae
Source: RNAcentral